Molecule: ribosomal RNA, 253 nt
Filed under: uncultured bacterium
Lineage: Bacteria
Description: partial 16S ribosomal RNA
Rfam family: Bacterial small subunit ribosomal RNA
Source: RNAcentral
UACGUAGGUGGCAAGCGUUGUCCGGAUUUACUGGGCGUAAAGGGCGCGUAGGCGGCUUGACAAGUCCCGGGUGAAAUCCCUCGGCUCAACCGAGGAACUGCCUUGGAAACUGUCUGGCUUGAGGCCGGGAGAGGGUAGUGGAAUUCCCAGUGUAGCGGUGAAAUGCGUAGAUACUGGGAGGAACACCGGUGGCGAAGGCGGCUACCUGGACCGGUUCUGACGCUGAGGCGCGAAAGCGUGGGUAGCAAACAGG